UGUGACCUCAAAUCAGGUAGGACUACCCGCUGAACUUAAGCAUAUCAAUAAGCGGAGGAAAAGAAACUAACAAGGAUUCCCCUAGUAACUGCGAGUGAAGCGGGAAAAGCUCAAAUUUAAAAUCUGGCGGUCUUUGGCCGUCCGAGUUGUAAUCUAGAGAAGUGUUAUCCGCGCUGGACCGUGUAC
Molecule: ribosomal RNA, 186 nt
Filed under: Cortinarius puellaris
Lineage: Eukaryota; Fungi; Basidiomycota; Agaricomycetes; Agaricales; Cortinariaceae
Description: partial 28S ribosomal RNA
Rfam family: Eukaryotic large subunit ribosomal RNA
Source: RNAcentral